RNAcentral lists this long non-coding RNA (226 nucleotides) under Mytilus galloprovincialis (Mediterranean mussel). The record is from RNAcentral. Lineage: Eukaryota; Metazoa; Mollusca; Bivalvia; Mytilida; Mytilidae.
CUGAAAAAUUCAUGUGUACGCCCUGGUGUUUUGACAUUAACGUAGCUACGAGCCUAACUUUAUUUGGCCUUUUUAACAAGGCAAUAUAUGGUCGUCAUGCUAUCGAUAAAAAAUGAAAACAAAACGUUAAAAAUUACAUGCGUCCGAAGCAUGGAUUUUUCUGGAUCGACCUUUAUCAGGAACGCUUAAAGCCGAAUAUUUGAAGGCCAACAAUUUAUAAAUACCG